Long non-coding RNA from Mauremys mutica (yellowpond turtle), 467 nucleotides. RefSeq lists it as uncharacterized. NCBI's taxonomy places the organism in Eukaryota, Metazoa, Chordata, Testudines, Geoemydidae. The transcript has 3 exons. The record is from RefSeq and is a predicted model, not a curated record.
GACAGGAGCAAAGUGCAGAUAACCAUUGACUAGAACAGGUCAUGGGCCAGCUAACAGCUAGAAUGUUUGGGGCCCAGAAAUAGCCGCUUCUCCCUGCACUCACUUGAGGAUAUCCUGGCUGAAGAGCAUCAACAGCACCUGAAAGAACACUGAACUGGGGGAGGGAUCCUGGCAGGGAAGCUUCCCUCCACUAAAGACUGCAAAAAGCAGGUGAAACUUGGAAAACAUUCUGGACUCUGCCCAGAACAUGGCAAACGGGGAUCAUGCUCGCUGGAGGGGAGGCAUCUGAGUGUUCUUGGCCCAGGCAACAGAGGGAGACCCAACAACUUUCUCCGCAGUGACAAAGGGACCAGCGCUCAGCAUCGAACCCCCCCACCCCGAAGCACCAUUCUGAGGAACAGAAUAGAAGUAAACCAACCUGCCUUCUUUGUUUCAGGUUACAGUUUAACCCCCCAAUAAAGCAGCAU